GCCACCAUGUGAAGGAUAUGUGUUUGCUUCCCCUUCUGCCAUUAUUAUAAGUUUCCUGAGGCUUCUCCAGCUAUGCUGAACUGUAAGAUGUGCCUUUUGCCUUCCACCGUGAUUGUGAGGCCUCCCCAGCCACAUAGAACUAAUCCAUUUAAAGGGAUGGAAGAUUGAUGUCCAUGGCAUCCUCUGAACCUAAGAUCCUAAGACAUGUCACCCAUAAUCUGGUCACACCAUCCAAAAGAAACCCUGAAGGCACAGGUAAUUAACAUGAAAUGUUCAAACAUACUUUGAAGACAAAGCAUAUUUUCUUCUUGUUGUCUUCUCUACUCUGUGUUAAUCAUUUGGUUAAUGGAUACGGGUCAACUAAAAAUUGGACUUGUAUUUAGAAGUCAUUAAAGGG
Gorilla gorilla gorilla (western lowland gorilla) is the source of this 397-nucleotide long non-coding RNA. RefSeq lists it as uncharacterized. NCBI's taxonomy places the organism in Eukaryota, Metazoa, Chordata, Mammalia, Primates, Hominidae. The transcript is spliced from 3 exons. The record is from RefSeq and is a predicted model, not a curated record.